This 447-nucleotide ribosomal RNA is filed under the name uncultured organism. RNAcentral describes it as "partial 16S ribosomal RNA". It matches the Rfam family "Bacterial small subunit ribosomal RNA", at positions 334 to 797 of the family's 1533-position model. The record is from RNAcentral.
CACUCCUACGGGAGGCAGCAGUGGGGAAUAUUGGACAAUGGGCGCAAGCCUGAUCCAGCCAUGCCGCGUGAGUGAUGAAGGCCCUAGGGUUGUAAAGCUCUUUCACCGGUGAAGAUAAUGACGGUAACCGGAGAAGAAGCCCCGGCUAACUUCGUGCCAGCAGCCGCGGUAAUACGAAGGGGGCUAGCGUUGUUCGGAUUUACUGGGCGUAAAGCGCACGUAGGCGGACUAUUAAGUCAGGGGUGAAAUCCCGGGGCUCAACCCCGGAACUGCCUUUGAUACUGGUAGUCUUGAGUUCGAGAGAGGUGAGUGGAAUUCCGAGUGUAGAGGUGAAAUUCGUAGAUAUUCGGAGGAACACCAGUGGCGAAGGCGGCUCACUGGCUCGAUACUGACGCUGAGGUGCGAAAGCGUGGGGAGCAAACAGGAUUAGAAACCCCUGUAGUCCCA